Molecule: ribosomal RNA, 301 nt
Filed under: uncultured bacterium
Lineage: Bacteria
Description: partial 16S ribosomal RNA
Rfam family: Bacterial small subunit ribosomal RNA
Source: RNAcentral
CAGUAGCCACGGUAAAACGUAGGGUGCAAGCGUUAAUCGGAAUUACUGGGCGUAAAGCGUGCGCAGGCGGUUAUAUAAGACAGAUGUGAAAUCCCCGGGCUCAACCUGGGAACUGCAUUCGUGACUGUAUAGCUAGAGUACGGCAGAGGGGGAUGGAAUUCCGCGUGUAGCAGUGAAAUACGUAGAUAUGCGGAGGAACACCGAUGGCGAAGGCAAUCCCCUGGGCCUGUACUGACGCUCAUGCACGAAAGCGUGGGGAGCAAACAGGAUUAGAUACCCCCGUAGUCCCUGUCUCUUAUAC